GUGCUGUGAGGAGCUGACCCUGAGAACUCACUAAGAAGAUAAUUUGUGUGUCUGUCAUCCUAUGGGUACAGGCAGUGCAUGCCCCAGAGAAGCUGAAGUUGCAUUAAAGGAGUCCCUGGUGUCCUGGCACGGCUGUUGGGGAUCUCUGUGAAGUUUGAAUGUGUUUCCACUUUUACUUCUGCAAAUGCUGCAGAUUUCAGGCUCAGGUGUGAAGUAUCAGAGGAGCUGAAUUCCUGAUUCAGGAUGGUUUCAUACCUGCUGAGUGGAGGUGUCCUGAAAAUUGCUGAUAAAGGAUAAUAGCCUGCAUAAGGAAAUCAAAUUGCCUAACAAGUAGCUCUUCUGUGGAAUAAACUAAUUACCAUUGUAAUUGAUUGCUUCAAUUGCCUGAGACAGUUUAGGUGCACUCAGGUCCACGUGGUGUGCAGGGCUUGGCACAGGUGUGGGAUCAGCAUUCUCACCAUGGUGAGCUGGAUUCCAUUUCCUGGACACUGGAUUUCCAUUGGGUUCUGUGCAGACACUGCCCUGAGGGCUCCGUUUCACAGGGAUGCUCUUCUGAAACACUUGUCAUGAUGCAAAAGCCACUGGUUAUUGAUAUCACUGUGCCAUCACUGAAUGGGGAGCAUGGCAGAAUCUUUCUUCCCAAGGAACAUUGGCAACUUGAUUAUUGUGAACCAGGAAUGACAUAACAGCCAGAUAUGGCAAAACAGCUGCAGUUCUGCUUUCUGGAGGAAUGUUUCAAAAAGGACAUUGGAGGCAACAUGGAUAGUGACAAAGAAUCCCUUAGAACAACUGCUAAAGACUGAAUUUAAGGAAGACCAAGAAAUUAUGUUAAUAAACCACUGAGGAGCAUCCCAGUAUCAGAAACCCUACAGAGAAAUGUUGUUUCCCCUCUAACACACUGGGAUGUGAUACUGUAUGACACAAAAAGUAGCCUCUAAGGAAUACUGCAUUCUAAAUAUAUUCUUGACACCAAUGCACAACUACUUCAAUCUGUAAAUUUAGUUUUGGGUUGUUUCUUUUUUUUUUCUGUGCUAGAGGACAUGAUUGUGCUUGAAUGGGAAUUGAA
This is a long non-coding RNA of Zonotrichia leucophrys gambelii, 1066 nucleotides long. RefSeq lists it as uncharacterized. Lineage: Eukaryota; Metazoa; Chordata; Aves; Passeriformes; Passerellidae. The record is from RefSeq and is a predicted model, not a curated record. The transcript has 7 exons.